Molecule: ribosomal RNA, 433 nt
Filed under: uncultured bacterium
Lineage: Bacteria
Description: partial 16S ribosomal RNA
Rfam family: Bacterial small subunit ribosomal RNA
Source: RNAcentral
AACGAACGCUGGCGGCAUGCCUAACACAUGCAAGUCGAACGAGACCUUCGGGACUAGUGGCGCACGGGUGCGUAACGCGUGGGAACCUGCCCUUAGGCUCGGAAUAACUCCCCGAAAGGGGUGCUAAUACCGGAUAAUGUCCUCGGACCAAAGAUUGAUCGCCUUUGGAUGGGCCCGCGUUGGAUUAGCUUGUUGGUAGGGUAAAAGCCUACCAAGGCGACGAUCCAUAGCUGGUCUGAGAGGAUGAUCAGCCACACUGGGACUGAGACACGGCCCAGACUCCUACGGGAGGCAGCAGUGGGGAAUAUUGGACAAUGGGCGAAAGCCUGAUCCAGCAAUGCCGCGUGAGUGAUGAAGGCCUUAGGGUUGUAAAGCUCUUUUACCCGGGAUGAUAAUGACAGUACCGGGAGAAUAAGCUCCGGCUAACUCCGUG